CCCAUACAGGUGGGAGGACCCAAGAGUAAAGUACUUCCGCUUCCUUAGGUGGAGCUGGAAAGGUGGAGGCGGAAGUGACUGAUCAAUUCAGGGGCGUGGGGUUCGUUUAGGUUUUGCCCUGUGUAUGACCUCGUUUGGAGCCAUGAAACCAGGAAGCUCUUCCACGAGUUCACGAAUGGAAAUAACAUCAAGAGUUUUUCAUCUUCUUAGUGUGCAAGGUUAUUUUAGGGCAGUGAUGGAAAGCACCAAGUGGAGUCUGGAGCUAGACUGAUCGGUGUUCAAUCCUGUCUUGGUUACUCAUUGAGGAGCCUCGACUUUCAUGUCUCUGUAAUGUCCCUGACAGUAUCUGCCUCACAGGGUUGCUGUGAGAAUCAAGCGAGAUGUCUGAGGAAUAGUCUUAGUGGAUUAUCCCAAACUUGACACAUUUUUUUGCAAAAUUCUAUACAAAAAGAAGAUACAUGUGAUUAUGACAAGAUUCUCCACUUGGUGUGACCAGUCUCAUACAACCCAAGGCUGUGCGUCCAAAGGCAACUGCACUGCACAUGACAGAAUUGCUCUGUUGAAGUUUUGCAAGGUCAAAUGACUCACUUUGUCUAAUGGAAUGGGAACGAACAAUUUUUUCGUGUCACGUUUGAACAGAUACCUUUGAGAAGUUUAUGAUUCUCCAAGUUCUCUUUCUCCUACUGUGGCACCUACUGACAAGAUAAAUGUGUAGAGGUUCCUGAGUCUAGGGGUAAGGAAACAAGAAGCAGUGCCUUGUGCAACCCUGAUGUAAUGUGAGCAAGAAAUGCAAACCUGAAAAUUCUGUUACUGCACUAUUAGUGCCCAUCCUGAUAAGUAUAGAAGGUCAUAGUCAAUUUUAAAUAGUUGCUAAAACUGGGCUGCCAAUUUGUUUCUUAGGCUGUAGUGAACAAGUUUCCUAGGACACUGUCUUAUGCAUUUCUUAUUGUGAGAUAUUGAAAGCAAAUUCAUAGUUCAAAAACAAAGCAAGUCUACAUGGGGACAAAAUGAUGCAGCUACAUAUUUUGUACAAAGCUCUGUGCUAGACUCUUGUCUUAAACUUCUAGGAAUUUACAAUCUAAUUAGAGAGAAAGGACCCCAAAUGAUACUAAAAUAAAUAAAUAAAUGGAGCUUAUGCCAGAUGAAUUGUAUCGUCAGGAAUCCAGAGACAAAUUGAUUUCUCAGAACUGGGGCAUUUCUUCAUGGAAAAGGUUGGAGUUAGACUCAUCUCUUUCCUGGGAUGCUGCUGUUACUUUAAUAUCCCAGUUGGAUUUAGUGACAUCUGCAAAGGCUCCGUGUAGUUAAUAAGAUUAAAAUCAAGUUUUAGUCUUCUGUCAACAGCUUGCUGUCUAGCCUCUUCAUUAAGGAAAGGGGGAAAAAAAAGUAUCUGAAGUCAAAGUUGACUCAGUGUUGUAUCAUCAAGUCAGGGAUGCAAAAGUGCCACAUGUUGCUAGGCAUGAGUAAACUCUGAUUUUAAAUAUUCCUCACAAGGAAUAAGAGAAUACAGCAAAUCUGUUGGAUUAGGAAAGACUGCAAUGGCUUUUAGUUGUCAUUAGUACCAUGGUAAGUUUAAAAGAGAAAGUAAAGUGAACUGAAAGUAAAGAUAACUAGAGAACAUCCAUCAAAUGACAGAGUUAUGAGAAAGAUAAAGAGAAGCAACAAACAAUAUCUAAUUAUAGCUUUAUCCACAUGAAUACCAUUCCAUUUUGUUUUAAUUUUGCCAAAAAAGCUAAAGUAAUAAUUUAAAAAUACCUGUUAAAAAAUGGAAAAUGAAAGAUUGAGUUUUUAUUACAGAUUAUCCUAUCCUCCCAAGAAUGCAGUUCUGUCGCAAAAUUUGGCCAUACAAAACCUACAUGUAUAUCAAUUAAAGAGGUUUCCCCACCAUAAAACACAGAAAAUGAGGAGGACCUGUGAGCCAACUCAUCUGGGAAAAUAUGCUUUCCAUAAUUAAAUAUAACAUGCUGCCUCACCCCUGUGUAUGUUCUUGACUAGACAGAGCAAUUCACACUGUGAACUGCAGCGUCUUGGUGUUGAAGGAAGUCUACACAGUGGAGUCGAAUAUAAUAACAAACUGAAACCUUAAUUAGUUGAAGUAACAAAGGCAGUGGUACACAGUUAUGCAAGCGUAGAGUUUGGCUGUUCAUUCCUUCUUAAGAAAAUCUACAUCAGUUAUCUUCAGAAACGUAUUAAAGAUUCCAGGUAGAGAAUAGCAUUGAAAUCCUUCACUGGAUUUCAUCUGGAAGUCUAGGAUCAUUCUGAGGAUGCUUGGAUGCCAUUUCAGACUUUUCAGAAUUUAUACCAUUUAUUUCAUUAGAUAUUUCAAAUUCCUGCACCUUCUGCAGUGUUAAUAGAAUUAUACUAUACAGAAUGGAAAACAACAAUUAAAAAAUUGAGUUUCAGUGAGAACAACAGAGAUAAAAACAGCAGAGUCAAGUAUUUAUUGAGUUUUACUCUGUGCCAGCCACUACACUAGAUGCUGAAGAUAUAGCAGUGAAUAUGACAGUCUCUGCCUUGAUGGAGCUUGCAGUUUUUUCUGAGUGGCUGCUAACUUGAUUCUAAGUUAUCUCCUUAAUUAUUUCAGUAUCUGAGUAGUGUUGCAAUGUGCAGACAACUUGUUCUUUGUCCUUGUCACUGUGGAAAUAGUUAUAAUCGGAUACUGUAUCUACCCCUAGUCUUCUGUAAUUCAUUUUAACAAUGCACACACAUGUUGAUUUGGAGAAAAAGAAUAACAAUCUUUUGAAAAAAUGGUGAUCCUAGGGCUACGACCUUUUAAAAACUUGGGUCUCCGUGAACCCAUUAAGUUGGAUGCAGGACUCGACUUAGUAUAAUAGACCUUUUUCACUCCUGUUAUUACUAGUACGUUAAAGUCUAGCUUUCUUACUGGAGUGGUGUUUGGAGAGAGAAAGCUGCAUCACUUGGGAUGAAGAAACUGAGGCCCACAGAAGGUGGGUGAUACCUGCAAAAUCACAAGCUUUCAUGGUGAAAGAAGAGGGCAAAACUCAACCCGUCUCUUUAGACUUGGGAAGAAUAUGAAAGGACCAGGAGGGACAGCUUUCCUAAUAACCUAGCUGAUGGUUCACUUAUUAGUUGUCUCACUAAGCCCAAAUUUGUCUAACUGGCCUUAUUUCCCUGGAGUAUACCCUGGAAGUUUCCAUGCAAGCCAAUUUAAGUUACUUUAAAUUAGGAAAGGCAGAAAACAAAAGCCCAAACCUUUGUAAAGGAGGAGGAUUUGCUACAUUGUUCUCAAUUCAUCACAGAAGAGGAUGAAACUGAGUGAUUACACUUGCUGGAGAGAAAAAAAGUCCUUCCCCCGCUCACCCCAAAUAAAGCAUUAACUUUAUGUUAAUCCAUGAAUUAAAUUGAAUUGUAUUAUUACUUAGUGCUAAUCUAUAUAACCUACUUAAAAUUUAAUUGUAUGAGUCAUAGUUUGAUUAGAUGCAUGCUAUGCAUCGUUCUUUACAUUAUAACAUCAUCUUGACAUUAUCAAUAUGAUGUCUAUAGAAGACAUUAAUUUCUUGUUCUGAAAUACAGAAGUAUUAUUUUUACGUUCUUUUGCAGGAUUGUAUUCUUUUUGCUUAUAUUAAUAUCAUGUGAAAUCCACCCAAAGGUAGCAAUAACAAUUAUAUAUUUGUUUCCAUUUUGAAAUACAAAUUUAGAACUAAUAUGCAUUUGGUACCCACCUCACUGAAUAUGAAAUCUCAUGACUCUUUACAUCGAGUGCUUAUGACAACAUGCUACAGUGUGCAUGGCCAAACACAUUCUUCAAAAAAAACAACAUAAAGGAUAUAAAGGCUGACAUAAAUGAGUAUUAUUCCUCAGAUUGUUCAUUGAUUUGUUUCAUCUUCUAAUACAACAUUGAUAGACAUAUAAUGUAGCAGAUAUAUUCUUCCUUGCUGGCAGAAUUCACUGUUUCAAACGUAAAUCCCCAACAGUCUAAAUCAUUCUAUGCGAUGCCAUACCUCCUCCCUGUGAUUGCUUUACAAAAGAGCAUGUGACUCAGUCUUGGCAAUGAUUGAGUCACACCUUGGCAAUGACAUGAAAGGGAAGACUGCUGAGGAUUCUGGGGAAUGUGUCUUCACUGAUGAAAAGAAACACAGAAGAAAAAAUUGCUUAUCUUCCUUUGGCCAUUGAUGUAUCUGCAUGGAAAGCCCGUAACUGCAGAAGUCAACUGGGAUUUUAACGGCUGUUCACAGAACACAGCUGAAACACUGGACAGAACUGGCUCCUUGAGUUGCUGAAUUAACCCACUCUGGAACUAAUUUCUUGUUAUAUGAAAUAAUAAUGUUUCCUUUUUGCUUAAGCAACUUUGAGUAGGGGUUUUCCAUGAUGUGCCAUCCAAAGCAUCUUAAUGAUACACAUAGCAAGUAUUUCACAGGAGUUCUUAGCACAAUCACCAUGACAAGUGCUCACGUAAUGUUUAUUUAAAAAAUUCAAUUGGCCCUUCAUAUUCUUGGGUUCUGAGUCUAUAGAUUUAACCACCUACAGAUCAAAAAUAUUUAAAAAAUUGCACCUGUACUAAACAUGUAGACAUUUUUGUUGUCAUUAUUCCCUAAACAAUACAACAACUAUUUAUAUAGCAUUUACAUAGUAUUAGGCAUUAUAAGUAGUCAAGAGAUAAUUUAAAGUGUACAAGAGGAUGCGCAAAGGUUAUAUGGAAAUACUAUACCACUUUACAUCAGGGACUUGAGCAUCUUUGGGUUUUGAUAUCCAAGGGAGGUCUGAGAACCAUUCCCCUGAGGUUACCAAGGGACAAUUGUACUGACUGCAAGGAGGUUAAUAUUAUCUGACAUUAUCACGGACUUCAGAAGACGUGAAGGAAUAUGUAUUUAUUUGGGCUAAAGAUGAAAAUAAUGGAAGUGACUACAAGCAAGUAAUGGAUAAAAUCAAAGUGUUAUGAUGGAGGAGGAGGCAAGAAAAGACACAUUUUGGUACCUCCAAUGACCACCUCAGGGCCUGACUUUUUUUUUUUUUUUUUAAAUGAAAAUAUGACCUCACAGCAGAGUGUUUGUUCUCACUCUUCAUGCUACUGUGAAUGUCAUCCAACCUUACCGUGGCCAGCCCGGCCUCUCCACAUUUCCAGCCUGUGUGUACCACAGUAGCAAAUGUUCUUUCAUUCCCAAAGGGCUAUGUCUUCAAAAUGGAGAAACAGGACACCCACCAAAUGUAUAAAACAGAAAGUAAGACAGAAGAAUGUGCUUAUUGGCUUUUUCUUCUAUCAUUUAAUAGAGUGCUAUGGUUUUUGAAUGUACCUGUCCCUCCAAAAUUUAUAUGUUGAAACCUAAUCACCAAGGUGAUGGUGUUAGAAGGUAGAACCUUUAGGAGGUGAUUAGGUCAUGAGGGUUCACAUUUCAUGAAUGAGAUUAAUUCACUUAUAAAAGAGGCAUCGCAGACCUGUCUCCCACUUUUUGCCCUUCUAAGGUACAAGGACACAGUGCCAUCUUGGAAGCAGCAAUGAAGCCCCUACCAGAAACUGAACCUACUGGCACUUUGAUCUUGGAGAGCUAUGAGAAAUGCAUUUUUAUUAUUUAUAAAUCACCUAGUUUAUAUCAUAUUAGAGCAGUAGGAAUGGACUAAGAGAUUGGGCAAGGGUGAAAUACAAUCUAAACUGCAAGUAAGAGUUUCAGGUAUAAGAAAGAAGUAGAGACUCACAGGGAGUGAGCCUGUUUGCCUCUGUUAAGUAUCCCUUGGGCACAGGAUAAAUUUUCUUUGUAAUGGAAACUUCUGAACCAUUUAUAAUAGUGUCAGUGCCUCUUGAAAGCUAUCAAUUAAACGUUUAUCAAAAAAACAUAAAGACCUUUUCUCCAUUCUCAUUAUCAAGAUCUCAUAGUUAGCUAGGUACUUGAUCUUGAAGCCUGUAUCUUCAAGUGUUUAUAAUAAUUCACAAUCUCAAUUUCUCUCAUUUCUUCACCUCUUACGGCUCCUGGUUCAGCUCUUUUUACCUCCCUUCUCUAAACAGUAAGCAGCUUCUUGUUAUUUUUUUUCUCAGUUUUAUGUUGAGUUUUAGACACACGGAUUUGACUCAGAUUUUUAUCUCUAAAUAACCGUAUAAAAAUAUUUACUGAAUAUGUGCAAGACACAAAGCUGGUUAGGUUAAAUAAAAUGAUACGUAAAACUUUGACUUUGUUUUCAAGAAUCUCAGAAUCCACUGGGAGUCUGAUAUUUAAACAGUUCAACGACAGACAUACUGUGAUAAGUCCCAUAACAAAAAUAUGUAAAAAAUGAAAACGAAAGUAGCUUGCCUCUCACCAUAGUCUGUAAGGCAUCCCCUAUUGGGCUUCUCCUUUUAUUUCAAAUUUGCUAUGUUCAAGAUAGAAUUCACCAUCUUUCCUCCCAAAAUUGUUCUCCAUUGUGAUGAUUCUAUUUCUCCUAGCUGUUGCACAGUUAGCUUAGUCACUCAGGCUUGAAAGAUGGGUAUUCUUUGCAUUUUUCUUAGAUUCAUACUCCCCAUCUAGCCAUAUACUAAGUUCUGUUCAUUUUUCUUUUGAAAUAUCUCUUUUAUCCUUCUGUUGUACAGUCAUUACCAUCGCCCUACUCCAAAAUUGGAUCACUUUAUACUUAUAUUCCUGCAAUUUCCUAGCAGAUGUCUAUGAAUCCAGGCUCUCCCUCAUCUAAAUCAUUCUGUGUACUUCAAAGACCCACCAAAUUCUAAAAUAGGGAGACGUUGACCUCUAAUGCAACAAUCUCUACAAAUCAACCCCAAAAUGUAGAUGAAUACCCAUCUACUAUCCACAUACUUAUUGAUGGGAAGCCCAAUUUUUCAAAAAAACUUCUUACUUAAUUUGUAGAUUAUUUUACUUGAUAGAAAAAUUCCCCUUGUUUUGGUAAGUCUACAUCUUUGUUGCUCUAUUUUUCUCCCUUGAAUCCUUGUUUGGAUUCCCUGAAAUAUAAAAUCUCAUCAAGCCUUUGAAGAAAACUAUUUUCUCUUUUUAAGUCCUAUGUUUUAAAAACUGGUUAAACAUAUACUGUUUCCGUAAUUGAAUCUGAUAUAAAUUUUAGACCACGAUAUCUUGAUUGCCCUCCUAUUGGUAUUUUACACUUUUUCGCAUUAUUUAAAAUACGGUGUUCAAAUAUAAAGAGAAUACUUCACAAUUUCUUUACACAGAUUUUUCAUUAUUCUGCUCAUCAACCAAAUUCAAGUAUCUUAAAUAUUUCCAGUUUUUAUUGUAUCAAAACAAAACUUCUCUCCCUGAGUUCUACCUGACUUUAAAAGCCAUCCAGAAUUUAUGUGUUUUGCUCUAGUCCAACUUAUUUAUCUCAGCUACCUAAAGCAUAUCCCACAUUUGCUGGGAUGGGAUCCUUUCUUUAGCCUCUCCUUUCAUUCACUUAUUCACAUUUCCAACUCUUUCCUUAUGCUUAUCCUUUUGCCUGAAGUGACUUAUCUUUACCUGAUUUUAUCUUCUCUUUCCUUGAACACUCAGUUUUAGAUAGUAUAAUAAGGAAUUUCACCUCAUCAAAGAGAGGUCUGGCUUUUGCCUUCAGCUACUGGGAGGUGACCUCUAGGUUCCUGCAGUGUCCUGCCUGAUAGGAAUCCUUUCAUUUGCUAGUGUGUUUGACUACUAGACCACUUAACAAGGUGAUUUAUGAUGGGGACUUUGAGGCCAUGCUAUAUCACCUCUAAUCUCAUGAAGAACUGAUGAGUAAAGGUUGCCUGACUUUUGUGAGUGGUAGGAGACUAAAGGGCAGCCAAUGCCAGCACUAUGUGAUUAAGCCCCAGUAAAAACUCUGGACACUGAAGGCUUGAGCCAGCUUCCCUGAUUGGCAAACUCUGUGUGUAUUGCCACACAUUGUGGCAAGGAGGAGGUAAUACCAUCCAUGACUCCACAGGAAGAAGACAGCCAGAAGCUGUGUAUUUGGACCUCUCUCAGACUCUGCCCUAUGUAUCUAUUCCAUUGGCUGAGUUUUUGUAUUCCCCUGUAAUAAACCAUGACUAUAAUAGUUUUCAAUGAGUUCUGUGAGUCCUUAUAGUGAAUUAUCAAAUCCACGUUUAGUCAUUGGAAUCCUUUAAAUUGUAGCCAGCUGGUCUAAACUGAGAGUGGUCCUGGGGACCCAGGAACUUUAUGACUUGUGUCUGAAGUGAGGACAGUCUUGUGGGGAGAAUUCCCUGAAAUUGCAUUGUUGGUCAAACUCAUCACACAGACCCACUUCCUUCCUGAAGCAUCCUCUAAGUACUACUUCCCUCACUGAUGUUGCUUCCUUCUAAAUAUCUAUAUAUUGACUGUUCACCCUUGAACAGUGUGGGUUUGAGCUGCACAGGUCCACUUAUAUCUGCCUCUGUCACCCCUGAGACAGCAAGAGCAAACCUUUCUCUUUCUCUUCCUCUUCAGCCUACUCAACAUGAAGAUGACAAAGAUGCAGACCUUUAGGAUGGUUCACUUCCACUUAAUAACUAGAAAAUAUAUUUUCUUUUCCUUAUGAUUUGUACUAACGUUUUCUUUUCUCUAACUUACUUUGUAAUCAAAAUACAGUAUCUAACACACAUGAAAUACAAAAUACGUUUUAAUUGGCUGUUUAUAUUAUUGGUAAGGCUUCUGGUCAACAGUAAGCUCUUAGUAAUUAGGUUUUGGAGGAGUCAAAAGUCAUGUACAGGCCAGAAGUGGUGGCUCACGCCUAUAAUCCUAGCACUUUGGGAGGCCAAGGUGGGUGGAUCACUUGAGGUCAGGAGUUUGAGACCAGCUUGGGCAACAUGGUGAAACCCCAUCUCUACUGAAAUACAGAAUUAGCCAGGCAUGGUGGCACAGGCCUGUCAUCUCAGCUACUUGGGAGGAUGAGGGAGGGGAAUCACUUGAACCUGGGAGGCAGAGGUUGCAGUGAGCUGAGAUCGCACCACUGCACUCCAGCCUGGGCAAUAGAGUGAGACUCCAUCUCGGAAAAAAAAAAAAAAAAAGAAAACAAGAAAAAAAAGUUAUACACAGAUUUUUGACUACACAAGGAAUUGCUGCUCCUACCCCCUGCAUCAUUGAAGGGUCAACUGUAUACUGAAUAUCACAAAAUUUGUCACAGACAUAGAUCACUGGAGGUAACAUAUUAAGCUGACAUUACGAUAAGUACCAGCAAAGGUUUGGAUUUGGGUACCACGGAUAUUUAGCAAUCUUGUAACUUCUGAGAUCAGAAGACAAUAAAAGAAGGAGAGAGAAGACUAUUAUAAUGCUGUGAAAAAGUAUAAGAAGAGAGGAUGGUAGUGAUACUGGCAAGAAGGCAUCAAUCAUUUUCCUAAGGAACCACUGUAUUAACAAUAUAGUUCAACAGUUCUAUCAACAUGUUUUAAAGCACUUGCUAGGCAGUGAAAAUGUGUCAUCAACUCUCCAGGGAUGAAUAGUUGAUGAUGGUAUUUGAUCAUUCUUGCAACAUUUUUUUUUGAUAGAAGUUUAUUUCAGAGGCUUCAUACUUUGGGAAUAGGUCGCUGCCUUUCCCACAUCUUACAAUUUUAUAUGAGCAAGACCAUCUACGUGCUCUGCCUGUGACUGGUAGUUUUCUUUUUAAUUAUAUUUUUUCGUAUUUCUUUUUUCAUGAAAGACGCCAAAAGUCAGUGUGGUGACCCUGUCAAGUUUAACAUAAAUGGAUAAUUCUGAGUGAUGUGAGAUACUCUAAAUAGAGAGAAAACAGAAAGAGUAGUCAUGAACAGCACAUAAGUACAGCAAUAUGGGAACAGGAAAUAAGAAACCAGAAGGAACAGAGGAAUUAAAAGGGCAGAAAUGGGCUCACAUUGGCUUCCAGAACUAGAAGGAAUUGGAGGAAGAUAUUCAUAGAAACUCAGAAAAGUUCUGAAAUCAGAAAUGGUGAUGGGUUGAUUCUUGGCUUGAGUACAGCAGCAGGUGGUAAAAAAAGGGGAUAGAAAGAAGGAAGGUAUUCGUUGGCCAGAAGUUUGAUAUCCUUUCCUUGUGGAAAACAUCUUGCCUUUUGGUUUUAUUUUUACUUCUCUGAGAACUGUAAGGAGACCAGGAUUCAUAUUUCCUUGGGCUAGGAUUAUGACAGAUUACAUUCUUUUUUUUUAUCCCUAGAUAAUGCUUUUCAGAAAGAAAAACAUCUCAAAUAGGCAUCCUGGAGGGCCCUGAAGGACCCUAAAUUGGGACAAUUCUAUAAAAACAGGAUGUUUGAUUAUCUCUUGUUCUGCUAAAAUCACACUACAGAGCCUGGCUGAGCUGGGGGAUGUGCAAUAGAUCAGUAACAAGGCAAGAAUUCAUUAUCCACCUGCUAGAGUUCUAUGAUAACCUAUCAAUGGAAUAAGUGUGUAAAUCUCUACUUUUUAAGCAGUCUUCAUAUUUCACAAAACCCCUUUGUAGCUAGUUAAGCCACUUGCAACUUUCCUAACAUCCAUUUUCACUACUGGAAAAUGGAUAAAUCAAAAUAAUGCGUUAGGUUUUGAUGUGCUUAAUCUGGUUUCUGUUUGAAACAUUAGCAUUUAUGAAUCAGAUAUGCAAAGUGUGGUGUGUCCAAUUUCCAUAACUCUAUCCCUCUUCAGUAUACUAGAAAUAAUUGGGCCACGAGUUUAUUAAUAUUGAAAUUUCCAGUACAAAAUGCAUUUCUAGUUGAAGUGAUACCAGCUAGUAUUUUACAUACUGGUAAGUGCUGAUCAAUUGGUAGACAUUGUUUCUGUUCCUGAUGUUUGAAGAAAAGAGAAACUACCUUUUCUGAUUAAAAGAAAUGCAGUCAUUCAGUAAGCAAUGCACACAAUCUUUACAAUUUCCUGUGUUCAAAUAGUCUUCUGAAAUUAUAGCACAUAUGUGUGUAUAUCAUAAAUAUAGAUAAAAAUAUCAGCGUUCAUUCUAAAUUGCUUAAAAUAUGUAUUUCUCUUUUAAACAGAAACAUUUACUAUAAUUCCAUAGUUUUUUUUCAAAUAUGCUUUUUUCUAAGACAAUUUAAGGAGCUUUUUGAAACAGGGUUAUUGAUCUCUUUUAUAAGAUCAGAUGAAUAAAUUAUUUCCAAGAAAACUGAUUCCCAGGAUAGAAUUGGUAUGUUGUUUCUCUAAAUUUUGGUGGUUUAAGAACUCAUCUUGUUCAUUUUCAGCAUAUAAUCUAUAGUUUUUGAGAAGCUAAAUGGAAAGAAUGAUGAAAAAUGCACAGUUGCAAAAUUCAAUUUUAGAAACACAACUUAAAAGGCUUAUUUAAUAUGCUGCAGGUGUAAACAUAUGCAGCAUAGGAAAAGAUGAUGAGACAUAGAUCAAACAAUUAUUUCAGGUAAAAUAAAACCUAACACUUGUGUUUUCUGAUUAGAACUUCCCUUUCCAUUUAUUGAUAUCUGUUUCAUUCAAGACAGAAUGCAAAACUAUAUAUCUUCUAUGUUUUAGUCAGGGUAGGAUGCUAAAUUAUAUUUUUAAAAGACAUCAUUUAGCUUUUUCCAUUGCAGAAACAAAUGUACACUGAAUUAAAACUUAGGAGCUGAUAGCUUCCACAGGCUGUUGCGUAUCACCAAAAACUCAACAUGAGUUCAUUAAUGCUUGUUGAAUUGGAACUUUUUUUUAAAUCUGAGCCUGUCCUGUCUAAUAAAAUAUACAAACAAGAAAAUAUGAACUCAUUUAAUAGUUGAAAGGUAAUGGUCAUCUAGUAGCCUCUUCUCUUGGAAUGGUUUAGCAAUUCAUUGCUGCAUGUAUUCAGAUUAAUUUUAUAGCAUUAAAAUGAUAAUAUUGUAAAACAUGCCUAUAUCUCUUUCACAUACUUCCUUCUGGUUUAGUAAGGAUUCUGCAGUAAGAUAGUGUGAUGGACUAGUUGACUUCCCAAGGCCUAUUAUUCUAUGAAGUGAAAAUUAAUAUCCUUUUAACAGAAAAGCCUGGUUUCCAAUUAUCAGUAGAGCAGAUGUUGUGCUUUUCUUCUGGAUAUAAAGAAAAGGGAUGUGCAUAUCAUGCUUCAAGAGGUGUAGCAAUAUAAGUAAGGCUUUUUCACUCUGCUUUACUGCUACCCUGAGGGUAAAUUGCUCGGGUGUGCAGCUCCAUCCUGCAAUUCCUCCAAAUAUCAGAAAUGAAAAGCACAGCUAUGAAAGGUCCAGGCUUGGCUUUCCUCAUCAUAAAAUUAUGGGAAUGUAACUCAUACAGCUGCUGUGACUACCUGCUGUCUGCCAGAUCCCCUUGCUUCCACUUUUUCUGCUUACUGGGUAUAGCCAGUCAUUUCCAAGAGCUAAUUUGCAGUUGAUUAUGCAAUCUGCCAAGCCCAAUCAAUGUGCAUACUCAUGACCACUCAUAAGAUCAUUUGCCUUAAUCAUAGGAGACCUGGAGGUCACUACUUCACUAUAGGGAAUAUAUUCAGUAGAGAUAGUUGUAGGGGUGCCCACUACCCAGCUGCCUGCCAGGUCUCUUGGCUUCCAUCAUUUUCAUCUCUUGGAUGAAGCCAGUUUUAUCCAAAGUCGCUUCAAAGGCAAAUCCAUUUCCUACCAGUGAGAAAUCCUCUGCUGACUACGGACUUCUGAGGCAGCA
This is a long non-coding RNA of Gorilla gorilla gorilla (western lowland gorilla), 12403 nucleotides long. RefSeq lists it as uncharacterized. The transcript has 9 exons. The record is from RefSeq and is a predicted model, not a curated record. Lineage: Eukaryota; Metazoa; Chordata; Mammalia; Primates; Hominidae.